UACGGGGGGGGGCAAGCGUUGUUCGGAAUUACUGGGCGUAAAGGGCUCGUAGGUGGCCAACUAAGUCGGACGUGAAAUCCCUCAGCUUAACUGGGGAACUGCGUCCGAUACUGGAUGGCUCGAGUUUGGGAGAGGGAUGCGGAAUUCCAGGUGUAGCGGUGAAAUGCGUAGAUAUCUGGGGGGAAGGCCGGCGGCGAAGGCGCCUAUCUGGGAGAUUCCUGACACUGAGGCGCGAAAGCGUGGGGAGCAAACAGG
RNAcentral lists this ribosomal RNA (255 nucleotides) under uncultured bacterium. Its description in RNAcentral is "partial 16S ribosomal RNA". It matches the Rfam family "Bacterial small subunit ribosomal RNA", at positions 524 to 776 of the family's 1533-position model. The record is from RNAcentral.